RNAcentral lists this ribosomal RNA (429 nucleotides) under Fusobacteriota bacterium. Its description in RNAcentral is "Fusobacteria bacterium partial 16S ribosomal RNA". It matches the Rfam family "Bacterial small subunit ribosomal RNA", at positions 355 to 776 of the family's 1533-position model. The record is from RNAcentral. Lineage: Bacteria; Fusobacteriati; Fusobacteriota.
UGGGGAAUAUUGCGCAAUGGGCGAAAGCCUGACGCAGCGACGCCGCGUGAGGGAUGAAGGUUUUCGGAUCGUAAACCUCUGUCAGAAGGGAAGAAACCGCACUGUGCUAAUCAGCAGUGCCUUGACGGUACCUUCAAAGGAAGCACCGGCUGACUCCGUGCCAGCAGCCGCGGUAAUACGGAGGGUGCAAGCGUUAAUCGGAAUUACUGGGCGUAAAGCGCACGUAGGCUGCUUUGUAAGUCAGGGGUGAAAUCCCACGGCUCAACCGUGGAACUGCCUUUGAUACUGCUUAGCUUGAAGCCGGGAGAGGGUGGCGGAAUUCCAGGUGUAGGGGUGAAAUCCGUAGAUAUCUGGAGGAACAUCAGUGGCGAAGGCGGGUCUCUGGGCUGUUACUGACGCUGAGAAGCGAAAGCGUGGGGAGCGAACAGG